RNAcentral lists this ribosomal RNA (424 nucleotides) under uncultured bacterium. RNAcentral describes it as "bacterial SSU rRNA". It matches the Rfam family "Bacterial small subunit ribosomal RNA", at positions 355 to 796 of the family's 1533-position model. The record is from RNAcentral.
UGAGGGAUUUUGCGCAAUGGAGGAAACUCUGACGCAGCGACGCCGCGUGCGGGAUGAAGCCUUUCGGGGUGUAAACCGCUGUCAGUGGGAAAGAUAAUGACGGUACCCACUGAGGAAGCCUCGGCUAACUACGUGCCAGCAGCCGCGGUAAGACGUAGGGGGCGAGCGUUGUCCGGAAUUACUGGGCGUAAAGAGCUCGUAGGCGGGGUUGUUAGUCUCGGAGUAAAUCCACUUGCUUAACGGGUGGUUCAUCUGGGAAACGGCAGCUCUUGAGGACAGGAGAGGAAAGCGGAAUUCCGGGUGUAGCGGUGAAAUGCGUAGAGAUCCGGAGGAACACCAGUGGCGAAGGCGGCUUUCUGGCCUGAUUCUGACGCUGAGGAGCGAAAGCCAGGGGAGCGAACGGGAUUAGAUACCCCCGUAGUCC